UAUAGAGGUGGCAAGCGUUGUUCGGAAUUACUGGGCGUAAAGCGCGCGUAGGCGGACCUGCAAGUCGGGGGUGAAAGCCCGAGGCUCAACCUCGGAACUGCCUUCGAUACUGCGGGUCUCGAGUCCGGGAGAGGUGAGUGGAAUUCCUAGUGUAGAGGUGAAAUUCGUAGAUAUUAGGAAGAACACCAGUGGCGAAGGCGGCUCACUGGCCCGGUACUGACGCUGAGGCGCGAAAGCGUGGGGAGCAAACAGG
RNAcentral lists this ribosomal RNA (253 nucleotides) under uncultured bacterium. RNAcentral's name for it is "partial 16S ribosomal RNA". It matches the Rfam family "Bacterial small subunit ribosomal RNA", at positions 524 to 776 of the family's 1533-position model. The record is from RNAcentral.